Molecule: long non-coding RNA, 3034 nt
Filed under: Takifugu rubripes (torafugu)
Lineage: Eukaryota; Metazoa; Chordata; Actinopteri; Tetraodontiformes; Tetraodontidae
Description: lncRNA (ENSTRUG00000030500.1)
Source: RNAcentral
GUUCAACACUUUUAACUCCGUUUGCAACCACGUAAACAUUAAAACAGUAACACUUGUGCUUUUGCUAACUAAAGUGUUCCCAGAGAAAACUUCAGAAUGCAGAUUAGGUUCAAGUUUAUUGUAAUAAUGAUGUCGAACCCUCUGACAGCAUAUUUCAGUCCGACCCAUCCUCCUCCUCACAGUCGAGGGUUCUCGCUGCUCUUUAGGCCUACAUGAGUACUGAUCCAGGAUAUUUCUGCUGUUCAGGAGAAGCUGAUGCUCUUCUGAGAACCCAGCUUAAGCCAGUCAUCCCCAAACGUCCUGCUGGGCUCCUUCCACCUCAAAAAGUAGGAGGAGCGGCCGUGCAUGCGUUCUCCUCUCCUCCGUCCAUCAGCUCGGCAGAGAGAGUGCAGCUCAGACCACAUGCUCGUACAGCAGAGAAUGGACACCAGGAGAGUUCAGCAGGUGUAGCCAGAGCCGGUUCCCCUGGAAAAGAGCGGUUUCCCCAAGCCCCACUUCCACGGAGGAGCCCCUGCAAACCUUCUCGCUGUGAGAAAUCCCAAUCUACCGGAGAUGGUGAGUCUAGUCCUGCUUCUGUUUCAGCCACCAAUAUUCACCCUGUAUGUUUGUGGGUGUGUGAAGGUCUAUGUCCAUGUGUGUGUGUUAGCAGGGAGUCUUCCUAAGCCAUGCCAUCUGAUGAAGCCCCUCCCACAGCGCAGGGUGGUGUCGGUCCAUGAGGACACUUUGGCCAUGACGGAAGAGCUGAAGGCGGUCUUGCGGAGGUCACCUGUGCACCUUCAGGUCUCUGGAGUGGAUCAGCUGACCUGCUCUCAGGUUCCAUCUCGUAGCCAGCAACACCAACCAGCCGGUGACAGAGGGAACGCUGAAGAACUGGAAUAUGUCCUUCAGGCGGAGCUGAUGGCUGAGGGAGGAGGUCUGAGCGGCACAAGAGGAAGCGGUGACUCCAGACACGUCCAUCCAGGAGAGGAAGAAUGCUCAAGCUCCAGAUGGUUUUCCUCUAAAGCUCAACGAUUAGCUCCUGCAGUGUUGGACCCCACCCUGGAAAAAAAACCUCACUCGCAAACUAUAGCAAAAAUGGUGGCACCCACACCGGGUCCAGAAAAGACCUCAAGUAGAGUCCCAGAGUCACAAGAGCCACCUGAAGCCAUCCAGGCAGAUCAUGUCCACAGAACUGUUGCCUCUAAACCGGAUGUGAGGAACAGCACACAGGAGGGGACAGAGACAGGUUCCAAAGGACACAAAACAAAGUCCGAAGCAGCUGUCCUCCCUGUCUGAAAGAGAGACCAGGAGCAGGUCUGGGACAUCACGGAGACCGGAGACAGAGCCCCUGUUAUUCUGAUGAUGUUGUCACUCCUGGAUACUCAGAGUUGGGGAGAGAUUGCUGGGUAUCAGACACUCGGUACGUUUACGUGGACACAUUAAUCCAGCUAUGCUCAAACGUUACACAGAUAAUAGGAGCAUCUUCUCCUCCUCCUGCUCCUCCUCCUCCUCCUGCUCCUCAACACUAGGAGGACAGAUGCAUUUUUUCCAGUGCUUUAAUCCAGUCCUCUUUCCAGUUGACAUCCUACAUCACAUAAUAAAGAAGCUAAUGUUCAUCUACAACGGAUGGACAUUACUUAUUGUCCAGGUCAGAUACGCCGAGCUUUCUUGGAUGUUUUUGUUCUGGGCGGAGCUUGUGGAGCGUCACCAUGGCAACCAUGGGUAGCUCAGGCACAUACGGUUAGUUAGUUAGUUAGUUAGACUAACGUGAUGCACUGCAGUUGUCCAGUUACGGUAGGAUUAAGGCGUGUCACGUAAACGUACUGAUUGUUAAAGUAACCCCGGGGAUUUCUCCCCACUACUGGCUGGAGUUCACAUUUACAUACUUGAGUUAAAAGUCACAUGUCUGACUACCACUUGUGAAGAUGUAACACAACAAAUGCGCACAACCCCAUGAAACCAAACCAGGACCAAAAACCGUCUUCAGCUCCAGGGUCACCUGAGUCAUCACGCCAAACUGGUGUCACAUGUUUGGUGUCACAUGACGAGAGCCAGAAUCAGAUCCUCGCUCUCACAGCCACCCGAGAAUAAACAUAUUUGAUCUAUGCAGACGACGUCGCUGACAACACGUGUCCAUGGCAACCGGUAGUGAAGCGCCGAGGUCGUCAUUUUAAUUUGGAUGGCAGUUUAUUUUUGCUCAGCAUGUAUCAAUCAAUAAUUUAGAUGUCGAAAGCAAAUAGAAAUAAUCGUUUAUAUGUAUUUUUAAGCCACACUGACUUUGAUACACAGUCUAAUUCAAGUAUUUGAACUUUUGCAGAUAUUUUUGCUCAUGUCACUCUUAAUGCAUGUUUUGAAGUAUUUGUGUGCACAUCUGGAUGCAGCUGUCAUGUUAGUUGAUCACAUCUGUCCUCUCACAGGAGGAUCAAUAUGAUCAAUAUGAUCACUGAUCAAAUAUUAGAUACAGUCGUAGUCUCUGGAACUCAGGGCGGUUAUUUACAACUAUCUUUGUAUCCGCGUGUGUGUGUGUGUGUGUGUGUGUGUGUGUGUUUUGUAAAAGAGUUGGUCUCUCUCCUUGUUUGACUCGCACCUCUGCUUUGCACACACAAAACUACAUAUGAAAGUCAUAAAGAAACAUUACAAACCUAUUAAACCUGUAUCCGACCUCUAGACUUGUGAUGAUUAAAACAGGAAUUCCUGAGAAGCUCCGCUGACAUUUGUUCUCUGUUGUUGGAGUUUUGACGUUUCUUCUUCACAUUGAUGUAUUGUCUCACUUGGGACGUGUCCCCUCUUCAACCAGGUUUAAUCUCUUCUGUUAUUUUAUGUCCUCAAUUAAACAAAACAAGCAAAAACAAAAAAAACAGCCGCCUGACUGACUUGGAUCGGACCCCCAGCGGUGACACUUGAUCCUGGGACCAUUUUUGUUGAUCGUUUUGGGUGAUUGAGUCCAGCACAAGCAGGACUGAGCAGGAAAGGGUCCAAGAUGUGACCAAGAACCUAAUGAUCAAGCUGGCUGAACCACAAGUGAAACCCGCCACCAGUUUAAGACAGCAGCUCC